Molecule: transfer RNA, 69 nt
Filed under: Camelus dromedarius (Arabian camel)
Lineage: Eukaryota; Metazoa; Chordata; Mammalia; Artiodactyla; Camelidae
Also listed under: 1 other name
Rfam family: tRNA
About the family: Transfer RNA (tRNA) molecules are approximately 80 nucleotides in length. Their secondary structure includes four short double-helical elements and three loops (D, anti-codon, and T loops).
Source: Rfam by way of RNAcentral
GAAGGCAUAGCUCAGUGGUAGAGCACGUGCUUAGCAUGCAGGUCCUGGGUUCAAUCCCCAGUGCCUCCA